Molecule: long non-coding RNA, 547 nt
Organism: Ictidomys tridecemlineatus (thirteen-lined ground squirrel)
Lineage: Eukaryota; Metazoa; Chordata; Mammalia; Rodentia; Sciuridae
Source: RefSeq, a predicted model, not a curated record
CCUCUUUUCCUGAGCAUUCUUACAAACAUUACUAACUUGUAAGUAGCUACUACUUUUCCCCCCUAAUUUUAGUCACUCCAUCAAAUAUAAAUAGGUGACAAACGCUACGAAGCACAAUUCAGAGUCAUUUGCAAUAAAAUCCUGUCUGUACGUCAUCUCUUUUCGCAGCGACCUUUGUGAAGAACCAGUUAGGAGAAGGAGGUCUACAGUCAUCCCACUCAAUUUGUGACUCUUCUCCCAAGACAGCAGUGUAAAAGGAGUGGUAUAAAAUGUUUGAAUGCAUCCAUGGAAAUCUUCUAGACUGCUGUUCUUAGGGUUUCCUCGGCAGGUGACAUGUUCACUUUUUUUGCUAUCUUGACAUUCAUGUCAUAUGGAAAACUGAAGGAGCAGAGGGAGGCAUUUAUUUCCAGAAGAGGUCAGAGAGCAGAAUCAGGGGACAGAGACUAAAGAAGAUGCACCUGAGGAGUGUGAAGAUCCCUAAGAAACUAUCCAUGAAUUUAAAGAAAUUUAGAGCCAAGAGGGGAGAGAGAAAUGUCCACAACAAGGU